CAGUCGCCGCGGUAAAACGUAGGUGGCAAGCGUUGUCCGGAAUUAUUGGGCGUAAAGGGCUCGCAGGCGGUUUCUUAAGUCUGAUGUGAAAGCCCCCGGCUCAACCGGGGAGGGUCAUUGGAAACUGGGAAACUUGAGUGCAGAAGAGGAGAGUGGAAUUCCACGUGUAGCGGUGAAAUGCGUAGAGAUGUGGAGGAACACCAGUGGCGAAGGCGACUCUCUGGUCUGUAACUGACGCUGAGGAGCGAAAGCGUGGAGAGCGAACAGGAUUAGAUACCCCAGUAGUCCCUGUCUCUUAUAC
Molecule: ribosomal RNA, 301 nt
Filed under: uncultured bacterium
Lineage: Bacteria
Description: partial 16S ribosomal RNA
Rfam family: Bacterial small subunit ribosomal RNA
Source: RNAcentral